UACGUAGGGGGCGAGCGUUGUCCGGAGUUACUGGGCGUAAAGCGCACGCAGGCGGUCUGCUAAGUUUGGAGUGACAGUUGGUGGCUUAACUGCCAAAGUGCUUCGAAAACUGACAGACUUGAGGGCUUCAGAGGGACACGGAAUUCCGGGUGGAGUGGUGAAAUGCGUAGAGACCCGGAGGAACACCGGUGGCGAAGGCGGUUCUCUGGGCCUGUACUGACGCUGAGGAGCGAAAGCGUGGGGAGCGAACAGG
Molecule: ribosomal RNA, 253 nt
Filed under: uncultured bacterium
Lineage: Bacteria
Description: partial 16S ribosomal RNA
Rfam family: Bacterial small subunit ribosomal RNA
Source: RNAcentral